GGAAAACCAGUAACAUCAAAUGUUAAGAACUCUGAGCUUCUGUACAAUGAAUACAUAGUCUACGAAGCUGCCCAAGUAAAGCUGCAGUUCUUAGUCAAAGUGAGGUUUAAUUUCAAGCGGUGAAGUAAUGAUUCAGACUUGUAAAUAUGUGUGUUUUGUAAAGAUAGUUUCACUCCUUAUCAGUGAAAACUGCUCUUUCUUACCCAUUGAGGUUAUCUUUUGUUGUGUAUGGGGAGGGCUAGAUCUCAUUUUGGGGGUUUUAGGAGGAGAUCGCUUCCUGAACAUGUAAAUUCCUCUUUGUAAGAGAUGAAAUCAUGUUUCUACUUUUCGACUAUGA
RNAcentral lists this unclassified non-coding RNA (337 nucleotides) under Hevea brasiliensis (rubber tree). Lineage: Eukaryota; Viridiplantae; Streptophyta; Magnoliopsida; Malpighiales; Euphorbiaceae. The record is from RNAcentral.